GAUGAACGAUGGCGGCGUGCCUAAUACAUGCAAGUCGAGCGAACGGACGAGAAGCUUGCUUCUCUGAUGUUAGCGGCGGACGGGUGAGUAACACGUGGAUAACCUACCUAUAAGACUGGGAUAACUUCGGGAAACCGGAGCUAAUACCGGAUAAUAUUUUGAACCGCAUGGUUCAAAAGUGAAAGACGGUCUUGCUGUCACUUAUAGAUGGAUCCGCGCUGCAUUAGCUAGUUGGUAAGGUAACGGCUUACCAAGGCAACGAUGCAUAGCCGACCUGAGAGGGUGGUCGGCCACACUGGAACUGAGACACGGUCCAGACUCCUACGGGAGGCAGCAGUAGGGAAUCUUCCGCAAUGGGCGAGAGCCUGACGGAGCAACGCCGCGUGAGUGAUGAAGGUCUUCGGAUCGUAAAACUCUGUUAUUAGGGAAGAACAUAUGUGUAAGUAACUGUGCACAUCUUGACGGUACCUAAUCAGAAAGCCACGGCUAACUACGUG
Molecule: ribosomal RNA, 497 nt
Filed under: uncultured bacterium
Lineage: Bacteria
Description: partial 16S ribosomal RNA
Rfam family: Bacterial small subunit ribosomal RNA
Source: RNAcentral